RNA transcript from Sorghum bicolor (sorghum), 3564 nucleotides. RefSeq lists it as uncharacterized. The record is from RefSeq and is a predicted model, not a curated record. NCBI's taxonomy places the organism in Eukaryota, Viridiplantae, Streptophyta, Magnoliopsida, Poales, Poaceae. The transcript is spliced from 4 exons.
GCACAAAGUCACACCGCACACGCAACAAAAAUAAAAAAGGCCACGAGAUAGAAAGCAGCUGGCCUCCCCUCCCCCGCUCCUCCUCAUGUCUAAAGCCUCGCCAAACCUCUCUCAUCCCAUCUCCGAGCUAGGAUCCUGCAGUCCUGAAUCCCGAUCCAUGUCCUAGCUAGCCCCCAGCACGACGCACGCGGCAGGGGUGGUGGCGAGUGUCGGGGAUCGGCCGUCGUAUUGGGUGGUGCGGUGAGGAUGAGGAAGGCUGCCGCCGUGGAGAUAUUGAACGCAUCGCAGGAUCCGUUUCGGUGUUGCUGGAUCUGUGGAGAGCGGCGUCGUCGACUCGAUCAGGUUAUCAUUGUUCUCAAGAAAGGGGCAUACCUAUUGGAAUUUGGGCAUAGAAGGAAGCCAAAAUUUUGUGUUCUUGGACUUUACGGAUGGAUCAGUACUAAUAUGGUUCUCAUGGAAUGAGGAGAAGUGGUUAACGUCAAACCAUGUGUCCAGAGACCAGAAUGAUUCCUUGCGACAGAAUACUUGUGUUCCUCUAUUUGACGCUAAAGGUGGGUGCCCCCAUUGAAACACUUCACAAAUGUUGCUGUUGCAUUUGGUAGUAUUCGUACCUUUAGCGUCAAGAGACGAACACACUUGCCCAUCGAAAACGACAAGGUGUGUAGUGUUGGAACAAGAAGAGAACCACAUAUUUAGAUCCUAUAGGUGCAACUAGGCGAGUCUAGGCUUUAGCAUAUAACACAUACAAAGUUCUAUCAAACAGCCCAGUUUAGAUAUUCUCCCACUCCACUAACACCAUAUAUACCUAGGUCAACUAUGUGCUACACUAUCUCUCUAUCUUCGCUCAACCAUCACUGUUGGUGGUUCCUAUCAUGUAUCUCUCUCCCCUUCGCCUAACCCCGCUCGACACUCCUCCACCCUAGCUAGGAACCUCCAGCCAAUGUACCUUCCUCCACCACUACUUCCAAUGUCAUAGUCACCCGCAUGCAUCCGUGCCUUAGGUGGGACUUGGAUGCCUUUUAUUGUCAUUGGGCUGGUAACACAUAAGGUACCACCUAUCCCAAUCUAGGUGGUAUCCCUCCACCUAGCACAGGGGCACACCCAAAGGAACAUGGAGGAGCGCCUUACUUAAUACUCAUACUAAGACAAAUUUGAUAUUUGGCCAUGCAUACUUCCUAUCAAGGGACAAUUAAUCCAACUAGUCAAUUUGUAAAACAUAUAUUUUAGUUCACUCUUCAUAAUAUCAUAUUAGAAUCCUCCCUCUUCCUCACUCUCACCUACUCUUUUCCGUAUGCAAGUGUGUUCCUCUAUUAGAUGCUAAAGGUUGGUGCUCCUUUUGAAACACCACAAAUGUCCUUGUUGCAUUUGGUAGUAUUCUUACCUUUAGCGUCAAGAGACGAACACACUUGCCCACCGAAAAGGACAAGGUGCGCAGUGUUCGAAUGAGAAGAGAACCACCUAUUUAGAUCCUAGGCACACCUACCUGAGCCUUCGCUUUACAAUAUGAAAUACACACAAAGGCUCAUCAAACAACCCAAAGCCAUUGUAUUAUGUUCUCCAACCCCACUAACACCUUAUAUACUUAUGUCUCCUCUAUGCUCUACUAGAUAUUUAUCCCAUAUCGAUCGCUAUCGCUCACUUAGCUUGACGCUCCUCCACCCCUACUGUCUACCUCCGCCCACUGUCCCUCCCUCCACCACCACCACUAAUACCAAAGUUAACCCCAAUUCGUUCAUGCCUUGGAUAGAUUUGAGCGCCUUCUGUUGCCCUCGGGCAGGCAUCGCAGAGGGUACCACCUAUCCCAAGCUACGCUCUACCAUCCGCUUAGUGCAGAGGCAUGCCUAGGCAAGAAUGAAAGAGCACCUUGUUGAACACUAGUACUAGGAGAUGUUUGAUUUUUGGCCAUGCAUACUUUGUCCCAAGGGGCACUAAGUCCAACAAGUCAAUUUGUAAAAUUCACUCUUAAUAAUAUCAUAAUUUAAUCCUCUCUCCCAUAGUCUCACCUACUCUUUUCCGUAUGCAAGUGUGUUCCUCUAUUUGAUGCUAAAGGUGGAUGCUCCUAAUGAAACACUUCAAAAAUGUUGUUGUUACAUUUUGUAGUAUUCUUACCUUUAGCGUCAAGAGAGGAACACACUCGCCCACCGAAAAUGACAAGGUGUGCAGUGUUGGAAUAUGAAAAGAACCACCUAUUUAGAUCCUAUAGGUGCAACUAGGCGAGUCUAGGCUUUAGCAUAUAAACACAUAAAAAGUCCAAUCAAACAACCCAACUCAGAUGUUCUCCCACUCCACUAACACCUUAUAUACCUAGGUCAACUCUGUGCUGCAAAAGGUCUCUAUUUUGGCUGAACCACCACUGUCAGUGAUUCCUAUCAUGUAUCUCUCUCCCCUUCGCCCGACCCUGCUCGACACUCCUCCACCCCGACAAGCAACCUCCAACUAAUGUACCUUCCACCACCACUGCUGCCGCCAAUGUCAUAGUCACUGGCAUGCAUCCAUGCCAUAGGUGGAUUUGGACACCUUUUAUUGUCAUUGGGUUGGUAACACAUAGGGUACCGCCUAUCGCAAUCUAGGUGGCACCCGUCUACCUAGCACAGAGGCAUGCCUAGAUGAACCUUGAAGAGCACCUUAUUUAAUACUCAUACUAGGACACACUUGUUUUUUGGCCAUGCAUACUUCCUAUCAAGGGACACUUAGUCUAACUAGUCCAUUUGUAAACAUAUAUUUUAGUUCACUCUUCAUAAUCUCAUAUUAGAAUCCACCUUCUCUCCCACUCUCGCCUACUCUUUUCCGUAUGCAAGUGUGUUCCUCUAUUUGACGCUAAAGGUGGGUGCCCCCAUUGAAACACUUCACAAAUGUUGCUGUUGCAUUUGGUAGUAUUUGUACCUUUAGCGUCAAGAGACGAACACACUUGCCCAUCGAAAAGGACAAGGUGUGUAGUGUUGGAAUGAGAAGAGAACCACCUAUUUAGAUCCUAUAGGUGCAACUAGGCGAGUCUAGGCUUUAGCAUAUAACACAUACAAAGUUCUAUCAAAUAGCCCAGUUUAGAUAUUCUCCCACUCCACUAACACCUUAUAUACCUAGGUCAACUAUGUGCUACACUAGGUCUCUAUCUUCGCUCAACCAUCACUGUUGGCGGUUCCUAUCAUGUAUCUCUCUCCCCUUCGCCUAACCCCGCUCGACACUCCUCCACCCUAGCUAGGAACCUCCAGCCAAUGUACCUUCCUCCACCACUACUUCCAAUGUCAUAGUCACCCGCAUGCAUCCGUGCCUUAGGUGGGACUUGGAUGCCUUUUAUUGUCAUUGGGCUGGUAACACAUAAGGUACCACCUAUCCCAAUCUAGGUGGUACCCCUCCGCCUAGCACAGGGGAACACCCAAAGGAACAUGGAGGAGCGCCUUACUUAAUACUCAUACUAAGACAAAUUUGAUAUUUGGCCAUGCAUACUUCCUAUCAAGGGACAAUUAAUCCAACUAGUCAAUUUGUAAAACAUAUAUUUUAGUUCACUCUUCAUAAUAUCAUAUUAGAAUCCUCCCUCUUCCUCUCUCUCACCUACUCUUUUCCGUA